This 88-nucleotide ribosomal RNA is filed under the name Brevibacillus laterosporus. RNAcentral's name for it is "partial 23S ribosomal RNA". It matches the Rfam family "Bacterial large subunit ribosomal RNA", at positions 2838 to 2925 of the family's 2925-position model. The record is from RNAcentral. RNAcentral also lists the same sequence under 1 other name. Lineage: Bacteria; Bacillati; Bacillota; Bacilli; Caryophanales; Paenibacillaceae.
UCAUAGACGAUGAGGUUGAUAGGUUCGGUGUGGAAGUGCAGUAAUGCAUGGAGCUGACGAAUACUAAUCGGUCGAGGACUUAUCCACA